This is a non-coding RNA of Nothobranchius furzeri (turquoise killifish), 658 nucleotides long. Lineage: Eukaryota; Metazoa; Chordata; Actinopteri; Cyprinodontiformes; Nothobranchiidae. The record is from RefSeq and is a predicted model, not a curated record.
ACUGUCACGGUCUGAGGUGUAUUCCUGCUGUCACUCCCUGUCUUUUGAGUUUUCCCUCUGCAGGUGGGCGUGUCUGGAGGUUGACCAAGCUGCAGCAGAUCUGCUCAUCAGCUGGCCAGGGGUAUUUAAGCAGCUGAGAGACUUCUUCACCUCGCUGGAUGAUUACUCUACCUGGGUACCUUCUAACAGCCACUUGUGUAUCUUAUUCGAGCUCUUUUAACCUUUUGAUAAUUAGAUUUGUUUUUGGAAUUUGGAUUUUGAGAACUUGAUGAGUUUUUGGAUAUUGGAUUUUUGCCUUUUGACCUCCUGCUCUUGUCUCCAGACAAACCUUCACACUCAUCUUAGACUGGCAGAACUCUGGAGCCCACACCAUCUGGAACUCCAACCCCGCUCGUCUCUCAGCCUCUCCCCUGGCCAGAACCACCUCCAGCUGCCCACCUAAACUUCCUGGACCUCCACAAGCUCAGCUCCCUCCACGUCUCACUUCUUGGAUCUCAGUCCCUGCAAAGCCUCUCAACCCAGACCGGACCACUCCUCCCUCAAACUAGUUCCCUCCUCUCCAGACCAUUUCCCGCACCAGCUUCCUUGUGCAAGAACUCAGCUACGUUUAUGCUGCUUCCUUGGUUUUCCUUUAAUAAAUCCUUGUUUAAACAUUUCA